This 442-nucleotide ribosomal RNA is filed under the name uncultured bacterium. RNAcentral describes it as "partial 16S ribosomal RNA". It matches the Rfam family "Bacterial small subunit ribosomal RNA", at positions 338 to 795 of the family's 1533-position model. The record is from RNAcentral.
CCUACGGGAGGCAGCAGUAGGGAAUCUUUCACAAUGGGCGAAAGCCUGAUGGAGCAACGCCGCGUGCAGGAUGAAGGCCUUCGGGUUGUAAACUGCUUUUAUAAGCGAGAAAUAUGAUGGUAACUUAUGAAUAAGGAUCGGCUAACUACGUGCCAGCAGCCGCGGUCAUACGUAGGAUCCGAGCAUUAUCCGGAGUGACUGGGUGUAAAGAGUUGCGUAGGUGGCAUAAUAAGUAGCUAGUGAAAUCUGGUGGCUCAAACAUUCAGACUAUUAGCUAAACUGUUAAGCUCGAGACCGUUAGGGGUAACUGGAAUUUCUAGUGUAGGAGUGAAAUCCGUAGAUAUUAGAAGGAACACCAAUCGCGUAGGCAGGUUGCUGGGACGGUUCUGACACUAAGGCACGAAAGCGUAGGGAGCAAACGGGAUUAGAUACCCGAGUAGUC